CCCUUAGAUGUUCUGGGCUGCACGCGUGCUACACUGAUUAUUUCAACAAGUGUUUUAACUGGAGAGUUUGCGUAAUCCUGAAAUGUUAUCGUGAUGGGAGUAGAGUAUUGUAUUUGUUAAUCUUUAACGAGGAAUUCCUAGUAAGUGUAGGUUUAUAAGUUGUUCUGAUUACGUCCCUGCCCUUUGUACACACCGCCCGUCGCUCCUACCGAUUGAUUGAUCCGGUGAAUUACAUAGAAUUUUGCGCUUUACAUGACGGAAGACGAAGUGUUUUAAACCUUAUCAUUUAGAGGAAGGAGAAGUCGUAACA
This 310-nucleotide ribosomal RNA is filed under the name uncultured eukaryote. Its description in RNAcentral is "partial 18S ribosomal RNA". It matches the Rfam family "Eukaryotic small subunit ribosomal RNA", at positions 1470 to 1796 of the family's 1831-position model. The record is from RNAcentral.